UACGUAGGGUGCAAGCGUUAAUCGGAAUUACUGGGCGUAAAGCGUGCGCAGGCGGUUUUGUAAGACAGGCGUGAAAUCCCCGGGCUCAACCUGGGAAUUGCGCUUGUGACUGCAAGGCUGGAGUGCGGCAGAGGGGGAUGGAAUUCCGCGUGUAGCAGUGAAAUGCGUAGAUAGGCGGAGGAACACCGAUGGCGAAGGCAAUCCCCUGGGCCUGCACUGACGCUCAUGCACGAAAGCGUGGGGAGCAAACAUG
Molecule: ribosomal RNA, 253 nt
Filed under: uncultured bacterium
Lineage: Bacteria
Description: partial 16S ribosomal RNA
Rfam family: Bacterial small subunit ribosomal RNA
Source: RNAcentral